CACUACAAAAAAAGAUGUGAAUUGUAUCACUUAAAUUGUAUCACAAAAUUAAAUGAUACAGUUUUCAAUCAUUUAUUUGUAAAUGAUACAAAAUAUAGAUAAUUUAGUAUCAGUUAUAACAACUGAUGUCAUUUUUAUCAAAUUUAACAUCACUUUGACUAACUGAUAUAAUUCAUCUUGAUUAGCGUCACUUUAAUAAAACUGAUGCUAAAUUAUUAAGUUAUAUCAUUU
RNAcentral lists this long non-coding RNA (231 nucleotides) under Brassica rapa (field mustard). RNAcentral describes it as "long non-coding RNA (BRAP_LNC000839)". The record is from RNAcentral. Lineage: Eukaryota; Viridiplantae; Streptophyta; Magnoliopsida; Brassicales; Brassicaceae.